Molecule: long non-coding RNA, 1044 nt
Filed under: Zostera marina
Lineage: Eukaryota; Viridiplantae; Streptophyta; Magnoliopsida; Alismatales; Zosteraceae
Description: long non-coding RNA (ZMAR_LNC005466)
Source: RNAcentral
UUCAUACAACCUGGAAAUUUCAUUCAAACAUACAAAAAUAUUUAUACAAAUUCCAUACAAAUAUCCAAAACAUUCAACCAAUCAUACCAUUCAAAAAAUAUAUAUAACCAAUUCAUGUCAUUCAAAACAAAACAAAACCAAAUAUAAAAAAAGAGGAACCUAUUUGUUGGUGUCGGUCACGCUCUUAGUCGCGCUAUUAGUCGCGCUUUUAGUCGCACUUUUGCCAACAUUUUCGACAUUCAAAUCUCUUAUAAUAGGCGUGAUUAUGUUGUCGUGUCCUUGGCUCGACUGGCCCUAAUGUAAAAAAAAAUUGAAAUUACAAAGAAAAUAUGAAUAUUGAUAUAUAUAAAUGCUAAUUACCUCAAUCGUCUCUCGUCGUAAAUCUUCCCUUACUUCCUUAAGUAUAUCCGGCAUUUAUUUUCUAAUGACUUCUUGGACUGCUUGAUCAAACUCUUUAUUUUUUUGUCGUUGAAUUUGUAUAAAAUCUGACGUUGUGUUCUGUGAAGUCGCCAAAUUAGUAGGAUUUGGUAAUGGCAUUAGAUCACUUGCUCUGGUUCCAAGCACACAACCUUUCUUUUUUCCCUCAGUAGCUUUCACCCAUAAUUCUAAAUUAUCAGGGAGUGUGUGUGAUCCAUUUGAUGAGUUGAUCUCAACACUAGCGGCUUCCAUAGCAUUUCUUUGGAGCUCAUUAUAGUCAGCCUAUAAAAAUGAAAAUAAAUAAUAAAUAAUAUGACUUAAAUUUCUUAAAAUACUUAAAAUAAUAUGACUUAAAAUUCCAUUGAAUCAAAAAAAGGAGGAAAAAUCUUCUCUGAUCUAUACAUAGUCUCGACAAUGGAUUUUCCAAGUGCUCUCAUUUAAGAUUCUUUCAAAGUAGGGGAACAAAUUUUACUAAAGAAAUGGCUAACUUUUGUUAAUACUUCAUUAAUUUCUUUAGGUAACAAAUCGAUGAAAGCAAUUGGUAAUAAUCUUUGCAUGAACACAUGACAGUCAUGAGACUUCAUACCUGAGAAUUUGCAAUCUUCGACGCUUGCACAUCUAGAUAUA